CUGCCCGGUGCGCGGAAUGGUAAAGUGAAGAAGAAAUUCAACCAACCGCGGGUAAACGGCGGCGGGAGUAGCUAUGAGUCUCUUUAGGUAGACAAAGGCCUCGUCAUCGUAUUAGUGACGCGCAUGCGUG
This 130-nucleotide non-coding RNA is filed under the name Volvox carteri f. nagariensis. RNAcentral's name for it is "Eukaryotic large subunit ribosomal RNA". It matches the Rfam family "Eukaryotic large subunit ribosomal RNA", at positions 2198 to 2321 of the family's 3401-position model. The record is from Rfam by way of RNAcentral. Lineage: Eukaryota; Viridiplantae; Chlorophyta; Chlorophyceae; Chlamydomonadales; Volvocaceae.